UUGGAUUUCGGAUAGGGGGCGCCGGUCCGCUUCGGUGUGCACUGGCGGCCCAUAUCUUCUUGUCGGGGAUGCGUGCUGGUCUUCAUUGAUCGGCCGCAGAGUCGGCGCUGUUACUUUGAAAAAAUUAGAGUGUUCAAAGCAGGGUUUCGCUUGAAUACAUUAGCAUGGAAUAACAUGAUAGGACUUCGAUCCCAUUGUGUUGGUCUUCGGGACUGAAGUAAUGAUUAAGAGGGACAGUUGGGGGCAUUCGUAUUACAUUGGAAGAGGUGAAAUUCUUGGAUUUAUGUAAGACGAACUUCUGCGAAAGCAUUUGGCAAGGAUGUUUUCAUUAAUCAAGAACGAAAGUUGGGGGGUCGAAGAUGAUUAGAUACAUCGUAGUCUCAACUAUAAACGAUGCUGACUAGGGAUUAGCGGAUGUUACUUGAUGACUUCGCUAGCACUUUGUGAGAAAUCAAAGUCUUUGGGUUCUGGGGGGAGUAUGGUCGCAAGGGUGAAAUUUAAAGGAAUUGACGGAAGGGUAUUACUAUGGCGUGGAGUUUGGGGUUUAAUUUGACUCAACACGGGGAAAUUUACCAGGUCCGGACACAGCGAUGAUUGACAGAUUGAGAGCUCUUUCUUGAUUCUGUGGGUGGUGGUGCAUGGCCGUUCUUAGUUGGUGGAUUGAUUUGUCUGGUUAAUUCCGUUAACGA
Molecule: ribosomal RNA, 689 nt
Filed under: uncultured prasinophyte
Lineage: Eukaryota; Viridiplantae; Chlorophyta
Description: SSU rRNA
Rfam family: Eukaryotic small subunit ribosomal RNA
Source: RNAcentral